This 432-nucleotide ribosomal RNA is filed under the name uncultured bacterium. RNAcentral describes it as "partial 16S ribosomal RNA". It matches the Rfam family "Bacterial small subunit ribosomal RNA", at positions 29 to 507 of the family's 1533-position model. The record is from RNAcentral.
ACGCACGCUGGCGGCAUGCCUAACACAUGCAAGUCGAACGAACCCUUCGGGGUUAGUGGCGCACGGGUGCGUAACGCGUGGGAAUCUGCCCUUUGCUUCGGAAUAACUCAGGGAAACUUGUGCUAAUACCGGAUGAUGUCUUCGGACCAAAGAUUUAUCGGCAAGGGAUGAGCCCGCGUAGGAUUAGGUAGUUGGUGGGGUAAAGGCCUACCAAGCCGACGAUCCUUAGCUGGUCUGAGAGGAUGAUCAGCCACACUGGGACUGAGACACGGCCCAGACUCCUACGGGAGGCAGCAGUGGGGAAUAUUGGACAAUGGGCGCAAGCCUGAUCCAGCAAUGCCGCGUGAGUGAUGAAGGCCCUCGGGUCGUAAAGCUCUUUUACCAGGGAUGAUAAUGACAGUACCUGGAGAAUAAGCUCCGGCUAACUCCGUG